Varanus komodoensis (Komodo dragon) is the source of this 602-nucleotide long non-coding RNA. RefSeq lists it as uncharacterized. The record is from RefSeq and is a predicted model, not a curated record. The transcript is spliced from 2 exons. Lineage: Eukaryota; Metazoa; Chordata; Lepidosauria; Squamata; Varanidae.
CUUGGCUGGCCUUUGGCAGACGUGGGGCAGGGGUGACCCCUCACAACGAAGUUGUAAAUUGAAUGCUGCUGAACAUGUCCUUUUCAAAUAAGCUUUUAUUGAUUGAACAUGUAAUAUACCUUUGGGGCUGGAUGGCCUCUUGUUAGUCAAUGAUUUUAUUUUAACCUCUUCCUCCUACACUGUAAGUAUAAAAAGUCAGUUCAGUAUCACACCUCUGCCGACUUCCCUUGCUUUAUUUUGCACUGGAUUCAGGCGUUUACUGUCACCUUGUGAUUUAAGACGCAUCCCCCUGCUGUAAACUGCGGAUUCCCUCUGCCCUACCUCGCAGGGCUGUUGUGAGGAUAGAGCGGGGAGAAUGGGAAUCGUGGGCGCUGCCUUGGAGUUAGGAUUAUCUCCAAGAUCAUUUUCAUGUGGGCUAUCGUCAAGGGACAGAAGAGCUGAAAGUAUUUUGUGGGAAGGGCCAGCCCUGAUGCCCAUGGGUGCCUGCCUUCUCCCCUUCGGCUCUCAUUCUUCAUUUCUCAUUUCCUUCCCCUCUACCAUGACAAACGGCUCAGAAGACAGGAUGUCCCAUGAGAGAAAAGGCUGGUGAAAGCCUUUCCUUU